This 467-nucleotide ribosomal RNA is filed under the name uncultured bacterium. RNAcentral describes it as "partial 16S ribosomal RNA". It matches the Rfam family "Bacterial small subunit ribosomal RNA", at positions 28 to 506 of the family's 1533-position model. The record is from RNAcentral.
GACGAACGCUGGCGGCGUGCUUAACACAUGCAAGUCGAACGGAAAGGCCCUGCUUUUGUGGGGUGCUCGAGUGGCGAACGGGUGAGUAACACGUGAGUAACCUGCCCUUGACUUUGGGAUAACUUCAGGAAACUGGGGCUAAUACCGGAUAGGAGCUCCUGCUGCAUGGUGGGGGUUGGAAAGUUUCGGCGGUUGGGGGUGGACUCGCGGCUUAUCAGCUUGUUGGUGGGGUAGUGGCUUACCAAGGCUUUGACGGGUAGCCGGCCUGAGAGGGUGACCGGCCACAUGGGGACUGAGAUACGGCCCAGACCCCUACGGGGGGCAGGAGGGGGGAAUAUUGCACAAUGGGGGGAAGCCUGAUGCAGCAACGCCGCGGGCGGGAUGACGGUCUUCGGGCUGUAAACCGCUUUCGCCUGGGACGAAGGGUGAGUGACGGUAAUGGGUAAAGAAGCACCGGCUAACUACGU